UGGGGAAUCUUGCACAAUGGGGGAAACCCUGAUGCAGCGACGCCGCGUGAGCGAUGAAGGUUUUCGAAUCGUAAAGCUCUGUCCUAUGGGAAGAUAAUGACGGUACCAUAAGAAAAAGCCCCGGCUAACUACGUGCCAGCAGCCGCGGUAAUACGUAGGGGGCUAGCGUUGUCCGGAAUCACUGGGCGUAAAGGGUUCGCAGGCGGAAAUGCAAGUCAGGUGUAAAAGGCAGUAGCUUAACUACUGUAAGCAUUUGAAACCGCAUAUCUUGAGAAGAGUAGAGGUAAGUGGAAUUUUUAGUGUAGCGGUGAAAUGCGUAGAUAUUAAAAAGAAUACCGGUGGCGAAGGCGACUUACUGGGCUCAUUCUGACGCUGAGGAACGAAAGCGUGGGUAGCAAACAGG
RNAcentral lists this ribosomal RNA (403 nucleotides) under Fusobacteriota bacterium. RNAcentral describes it as "Fusobacteria bacterium partial 16S ribosomal RNA". It matches the Rfam family "Bacterial small subunit ribosomal RNA", at positions 355 to 776 of the family's 1533-position model. Lineage: Bacteria; Fusobacteriati; Fusobacteriota. The record is from RNAcentral.